This 386-nucleotide long non-coding RNA is filed under the name Fukomys damarensis (Damara mole-rat). RNAcentral describes it as "lncRNA (ENSFDAG00000029002.1)". The record is from RNAcentral. Lineage: Eukaryota; Metazoa; Chordata; Mammalia; Rodentia; Bathyergidae.
GGAAACAGGCGUGCUUGGUUACAGGGAAAGGAUAACAUCAAAAUGAAGAACUUCUCUUCUGUGAAGGACUGGUUGACAGGUCACUGACAAAGGGAUGGUAUGGAGCUACUCUGAAGUGCUCACGGUGCAACUGAUGACGCUGGUUGUCCUGCUGCGCGAAGCCUCGAUCCACUGCUGCUGUCUCCCUGUGCAUGCCCUUGCCCACCUCUGUGCCCAUCACACCUCUGCCUGGUCCCAGGGCCCAGUCUGCUCUCUGCCUUUGUGAGAGCAACUUCUGCAGAAUUAGAGAUUAUUUCUCCUAACGUAAAGUCUGCUGGUUCCUCCGUGUGGCCACACAUGGUGGGACUUCAUAAUUUUUUAUAGCUGACUCACUAAAGAAGGCCAGG